AUUGAACGCUGGCGGAAUGCUUUACACAUGCAAGUCGAACGGCAGCACGGGUGCUUGCACCUGGUGGCGAGUGGCGAUCGGGUGAGUAAUACAUCGGAACGUACCCAGUUAUGGGGGAUAACUAACCGAAAGGUUAGCUAAUACCGCAUACGCCCUGAGGGGGAAAGCGGGGGACCGUAAGGCCUCGCGUAAUUGGAGCGGCCGAUGUCUGAUUAGCUAGUUGGUGAGGUAAAGGCUCACCAAGGCGACGAUCAGUAGCAGGUCUGAGAGGAUGAUCUGCCACACUGGAACUGAGACACGGUCCAGACUCCGACGGGAGGCAGCAGUGGGGAAUUUUGGACAAUGGGCGAAAGCCUGAUCCAGCCAUUCCGCGUGAGUGAAGAAGGCCUUCGGGUUGUAAAGCUCUUUCGGCAGGGAAGAAACGCUCUGGGAUAAUACUCCGGGGUAAUGACGGUACCUGAAGAAGAAGCACCGGCUAACUACGUGCCAGCCGCCGCAGUAA
This 502-nucleotide ribosomal RNA is filed under the name uncultured bacterium. Its description in RNAcentral is "partial 16S ribosomal RNA". It matches the Rfam family "Bacterial small subunit ribosomal RNA", at positions 30 to 523 of the family's 1533-position model. The record is from RNAcentral.